AUAUUUAGUGGCGAAAGGGUGAGGAAUAGAUAGGAAUGUACCUUGAACUUCAGGAUAGUGUCCCGAAAGGGGCGGUAAUACUGGAUAAUGUGGGUAACCACCAAAGAUUUAUCGGUGCAAGAGCAGCCUAUCUCCUAUCAGCUUGUUGGUGAGGUAAUGGCUCACCAAGGCGACGACGGGUAGCGGGACUGAGAGGUUGGCCCGCCACAUCGGAACUGAGACACUGUCCGGACCUCCACGGAGGGCUGCAGUAACGAAUAUUGGGCAAUGGGCGAAAGCCCGACCCAGCAAUGCCGCGUAUAGGAUGAAGUCUCUCGGGAUGUAAACUAUUGUCAGGUCCUAGAAAGUGUGUUUCGGCACAUUGAUCAGGACCGGAGGAAGCAACGGCUAACUUCGUGCCAGCAGCCGCGGUAAUACGAAGGUUGCAAGCGUUGUUCGAAAUCACUGGGCUUAAAGGGCGCGUAGGCGGAACUGAAAGUGUCUUGUGAAAUCCCCCAGCUCAACUGGGGAAUUGCUCGGCAAACUACAGUUCUUGAGAUAAGCAGGGGUGCAUGGAACUCUUGGUGGAGCGGUGGAAUGCGUAGAUAUCAAGAGGAACGCCAGUGGUGAAGACGGUGCACUGGGCUUAUACUGACGCUGACGCGCGAAAGCGUGGGGAGCAAACAGGAUUAGAUACCCUGGUAGUCCACGCUGUAAACGAUGUCUACUAGUGGUGGCAGUUUCUGACGCUGUCACGACCGAAGCAAAAGUGCUAAGUAGACCGCCUGGGGGAGUACGGCCGCAAGGCUAAACUCAAGAAUUGACGGGGGCUCACACAAGCGGUGGA
This 826-nucleotide ribosomal RNA is filed under the name uncultured bacterium. RNAcentral describes it as "bacterial SSU rRNA". It matches the Rfam family "Bacterial small subunit ribosomal RNA", at positions 88 to 936 of the family's 1533-position model. The record is from RNAcentral.